This 77-nucleotide transfer RNA is filed under the name Chloroflexota bacterium. RNAcentral's name for it is "Chloroflexi bacterium (cold seep metagenome) tRNA-Pro". It matches the Rfam family "tRNA". Rfam says of the family: Transfer RNA (tRNA) molecules are approximately 80 nucleotides in length. Their secondary structure includes four short double-helical elements and three loops (D, anti-codon, and T loops). The record is from RNAcentral. RNAcentral also lists the same sequence under 2 other names. Lineage: Bacteria; Bacillati; Chloroflexota.
CGGGGCGUAGCGCAGCCCGGUAGCGCACUUGCAUGGGGUGCAAGGGGUCGGCGGUUCAAAUCCGCCCGCCCCGACCA